AGGCGCAGGAGGUGAAGGAGAUGGAGGUGGUUGGGAUUUGUAAACAUACGGUGGUGGAGGUGAGGGAGAUGGUGGUGGUGGGGAUUUGUAAAUGUAAGGAGGGGGAGGUGACCCUGAUGGAGGAGGUGGAGACUUAUAAACAUAAGGAGGAGGAGGUGAUGGAGAUGGAGGAGGGGGAGACUUGUAAAUGUAAGGAGGUGGUGGUGAUGGUGAAGGUGGUGGUGGUGAUUUAUAAAUAUAAGGAGGGGGAGGUGAUGGUGAUGGAGGAGGUGGUGACUUGUAAUAGUAGGGAGGUGGAGGAGAUGGAGAUGGUGGCGGUGGUGAUUUAUAGAAAUAAGGAGGUGGUGGUGAAGGAGAAGGUGGAGGUGGUGAUUUGUAGUAGUAAGGUGGUGGCGGAGAGGGAGAUGGAGGAGGUGGAGACUUGUAGUAGUAACGAGGUGGAGGAGAUGGUGAUGGGGGUGGUGGGGACUUAUAGUAGUAUGGAGAAUGUGGUGAUGGAGAGGGUGAUGGUGGUGAUUUGUAGUGGUAAGGUGGAUACUCAUGCUGGUAAUACGGUGGUGGAGGUGGAGAUGCAUAAAUGUAAGGCUUGUCGUCUGCAGCUACAUUACUGGCUAUCAAGCAAAACGCCAAAGCAAAAACUAGAUGAGGCCAAAAAUUGGCCAUUUCCAGCAACCCUUAAGUCUGAUCCCCAAAAUGCAGGACUUCUACCUCAAAACUUCUAUAGAAGGAACUUGUGAAUGACUGGAAACGAGGGGCUCUGCAGAGCAUUUAUAGUGAUCUUUUGAGUAAGUGCAGCAUUUGUUUAAUAGUUGUUGAAAGCUUCCAACUUGUAAAAUACCUAACAAUUUGAAAAAGUAUCCCAAGUUAUUCAAGUAUUUGACAAUAUGUCAUGGGAUUCCACUACUCUCUUGAUGGAUUAGAUGCACUAAAGAUACAUGUCUAAGAAGAGGUCAAAAGAACUAAUGUGAGAAAAUUUCAGGGUCUCAGAAAAUCUUCCAUGUAGCCAUGCCAAAUGGAUGCCAGCAGCUAGCCUGCCGGCCAUCAGCUGACAAGUACAACAGCUAGGGCCAGCCGGUGGAUUAUUAAUAAUGAUAAUUGUAGGUCUUGGAUCUCACAUAGACUUGGUCUUCCUACCAAAUAUCAAGAACUUGGACACAUAUGUACAGAAUAUUUGGCAUAAAGCUGAAAAAUCAUUCCAACAAUGAAGUUGGUUGAUGUUAAUUAAGUCUAGAAAUUUAAUUUACUGAAAAAUCUUUCUACUCUUUGUUCUUCUCUUCUAUAUAUUAAUUUGUCUUCUAUUUCAGCCAUGAAUUCUUUGAAAUUUUCUUCGACUAACAUAUAUAUAUAUAUAUAUGGGCAAUUUUUUUUCCUUUUCUACAUUUAAAUUUCCAGUCAUUGGUAUAACUACAAUAUGCAAUACUGGGUAUGAAUCAUGAACAAGAUUAACAUUCUAGCUGCUUUUGUCUGGUUUGGUCCAUGCAAAGGUACCUGUGAUUAUCAAGUUUUCAAUAUAAGUUAGUUUAGCUUGUCUUUUAUGUUCAUUAAAAAGACCAGUUCCAAACCUCUAGCCAAUAAAAUAGAUGCAGUGACAAUCAAAAAGUCAUUUGUGAAGAAGAAGAUAGGGUGAUGAGGCAUGAAAUGUUCAAGGACAUACUAGUUAGAUUUCUUUUAGUUUUUGUAUCCUUUUCUAGGAUUCCUUGUCAGUUACAUUGAUUUGGUAUAUUGUAUGUAAAGAGAAAUUUGAUGACAUCUCCAAUGGGAAUCAGUUGCCAUCGGCACUUGUCUUUCCCAUUAUAAAGCAAAUUAACCAAGUCAAGAUGAAGCUUGGUUGUCCUACACCAUUAUCUGCCAUCAAUUAAUUAUAUUCCAAGUUGAUUGAAAUGAUUAUACUAGUUAACGAGAUCGCUCCAUUUAUAUUCGGACAGUGCUUGCCAUCACUAUCUGAAAUGGAACUAUUAGAUAAGAAAUUUGUUGAGGCCAUUUAGCUACAGCUUACAUACAAUGUCAAAUAUGAAAUUUUUGCCAUCACUAUCAGUCCACAUUCAUACAAACUGUUUAAAUGCUAGCUAGGAAGAAGCUACUUAGAGAUCUUGUUCAUUUUGAAAUACAAAUUUUAACUGGAAAAUUCAUCAUGAUGUGCUUGAGAUAUGAAUAUAUAGGUUUAUAGAUUAUUUAAGGAUUUCCAUUAUUCUGACUAAUUCUGCCAGAAGUUCUCCAUUGUCUCCCUAUAGCUAGUUUGUAUUCUCUUUUUUUUUGUUUAAAUAUUUUAGGAGAAGGUUUUAACAAGGCAAGUUUCACCCUAAUAUGACAAAAGCAAGAAGAUGAACCUACUUCGGUUGCAGACAAUAUUAUUGUACUAGAUUUUUGGGCUACUAAUGGCUUAUUAGCCUUUAGGAGGCUUUCAAUCCUGGAACAUUGAAUUAAUUUAUAGGUUUUAAACCUAUUAUUUUCUGUUUCAAUGACAUUUAAGAUUUUAGUUAUUUGAAAAUUGGGAUAAGCUUUAUGGCUAAGUUGGAAGAGCUUUUAUAAAAACUAGAAGAAGUCAUAAUGUUCCUUCAUUUUGUACAUAAAUUUUAUGUAUUCAUUAUGAUACAUAUCUUUUUCUUCUUCAAAAAAGGUUUCAAGAAACCAUUUUCUAGCUUUGGAAUUUUUCUUAGAAUAGAAAUGCUCUUUAAGCAGUUCUUUAUUUAUCUCAACGUUAUUAACUUGUAUCACCAUUGGGUGAUUGAUGUCUGCAUAGCCAAUGCCGAACAAAGUGGGAGUUCCUAAUCUCCUAGAGGAUGCUUCAAAUGGUGGGAUUUCGACCCUAUAUAUUGGUUUAUUAAUGUGGUUAGAACUUUCCCAAACUCCUUCGCAGGUUUCCUUCCUCGAAAUUUGUAUUGGAACCGAAGAUGUAGACCUUCUCAAAGAUGGUCUAGAUGACUCUUUAGUCUCUAUCUUUAUAUUUCUAGAAGGAAAUCUUAUUUAUACUUAGUCAUCUUUAUGCUCAAUGAUAUUAGAAGGUUUCAUAGAAACAGGAACUUCAACUGGAACAACAUCUAGUAAUUUCUAAAUUUCAAAACCUCAAUAUCUUCCCAUCUAACCUUCUAUGGGACAAACACUUUUAAUUUUAAAAUAUUUGUUUGAAAUAGGGUAGUUUCUCUCCUUUUAUCCUUUAAGGCUUUCUCUAGCCUAACAUUAGGACUAAUUGUUGUCAUGGUUUUACAAAAUAUUCUUUAAAUUAGCACCAUAUUUUGGGCUAACAGAUUCAUAUCAAAACCAAUGGUUUUAAUAUUUAGGGUUAAAACGUCUAGAAUAAUUGGAUCAAUAAGAGAGAUAGAAAAAUUUGGGAAACAGUUAAAAUAAACUAAUCCCUAUGUUACUAACCCUAACAAAGAAUCCAAAUAUUGGUUGUGCUUGGUAUCUCUUAAGCUUAUAAGCACUGAGUUAUUAAGCCCUUCUCUAGUUAGAAGCUUAAUAGCUAUUUGCACUAGCCCUAAAUGAAGGAAUUUAUAAUCUUCUUGGGCUUUUUCUAUUAUCCUUCUAGGUAAUAGUUUGAAUGUCGUCUGUUUUUUAAUAAUAGCAAGAAUUUCUUCUACUGUUUGAUAUGAUAAUCUGAACGGAAUUCAUAAGUUCCUCUAUUACAGACUAAUUUAGAGGAUGCAUGUUUUGGGAAUCAUCCAGUUUUGAAGAUGAUCCUUUAUAUCUGCUAUAGAAACAAUUUUUUAUUUUUAGAAGAUAGUCUUAAGGUAAAAAAAGAGCAAAAUAAAUUGGCUAUGAUGAGAGGAGUCAAGAAUAUCUAAACUUCAAAAUUAAAGCUCUCUGUAGGAUCGGACAACGAUUAAUAUUGCUAUACUACCCUUCCUGGGUCUGACUAGGCUAUGUGUCAAAGUCCAAAGAGUAACCCUUCAAUAUGAGAUAUUAUCUCUCCCUAACUGACUCUGAUACCAUUCUAGCCUAGAAUAUACAUAUAUAUGUAUAUAAUUAAACAUAAUUAAACAGUAAGCAUACUUAGACAGUUUCAAAUAUAGUCGAACAUAUACUAGCAAAUCAAUAAGGAAUAAAGAGAAAUCUUAUAAGAAACCGAGGGGAAUCUUACACUCAAAAGGACAGAGGAGUUGUUACAAGCCUAUACUUUAAUUCACCGAGCACCCUCACAUGAACACCCAAAAGAUCACUUCAAACACUCAGGCAUACACUCAGAAGCUUAGUAAGGAAUGAUUCCUUAGUAAGAAAAGAGUAAAUAAAAAAUUUAAUAUAAAUUAAAGACUAAAUAAACAAGGCCUCAUCCUCAGCUUUAAAUAAUUUUUUUUUAAUAUAAUUAAGACAAAUUUUGAAUAUUUGAAAUUUCAACUGAUCACAGAUCAGGCAUCCUUGAAGGCUAUCAGUCACUUGACUACUUCUAGAUGAGUUAUAAAAUUGCUUGAGAAAUUAUCUGCUUUAGCCAGUUAAUUUCUAGGCAAAUGUUCAACAGGUUACUCAGAAUACCCUCCAUAAUAGAAUGAGCCGAGUCGAAAGCACUAAUUAUACUAGAGAUACAUGCAAUAUGGGUAUAAAUAAAAGUGAAUACUGUGAACCCUUUGAGCAGUGAAGGAAAAAAAAAUGGUCUCAGAACCUUUCGAGUCCUUAAGAGACUUAGAAAUUUUGCAAGGAUCGAUACUUAAAUUAAUGAGCCAAAUUUGAAUAUUGAUGGAAAAGCACAUCAAAGCUAGUAACUUAGCCAUGGCCAGCAUGCAUCAAAGCUUGCUGGCAUUAGAAAUGUACUAUGAUGGAAACUGCCGUGAAGCAGCACUACUAGAUGCAGCUUAACAAUGUUUCACAUGUUGAAACUCUCUGCGGGCUUUGCUCAACUUGCGAGCCACGCAUUUCUAUAUUUUCAAUUUCUAAUUGUUUACUCUGGGCUUUUUGCUCAUAAAUGAAGUUUUGCCUUUGAUCCAUCUGGGGCACAUUCUCACAUUCAAAUCACUGCAAAAAUUCCUUUUUAUUUCAAUAUCAGUAACAUAAUUUGUAGACAGUGAAUGGAUAAACACGAUCCUGAGGAAAAAAAUCAAUCGUAAUAUACUUAGAUUCAUGACUCAUGAAUACAAAUAAAAUCAAAAUCACAUGAAGAAAGGCAAAGAAGCAUCCAUGGGCUUUGACCCUUAUUCUGAACGCCAUUGUCUUCUUUGAGUUUAACUGGUCGUCAAUGUAUCCCCAAAGAACAUGUGGCUCCUUCUUUUAUUAAUUACUUUUCUAUCAACCAAUGAGCUGCAAAAAAGAUAAUAAAAACAUUAAUUUCAUAAAAAUAAUAAAAACCAGGAGUGAAUAAGCUGAAACAUAAGUGUUAUGCUUACAUAAAACAAGUAGAAAUGGCCGAUCUUUUAGUAAUGGUAUGGAGGUGGUGGUGAUGGAGAAGGUGGAGGUGGAGACUUGUAGUAGGGUGGAGGGGGUGAGGGAGAUGGUGGUGGUGGAGAUUUGUAGUAAUAAGGUGGGGGAGGUGAUGGAGAAGGUGGUGGUGGAGACUUAUAAACAUAUGGAGGAGGAGGUGAUGGAGAUGGUGGUGGUGGGGAUUUGUAAAUGUAAGGAGGCGGAGGUGAUGGAGAAGGUGGUGGUGGGGANNNNNNNNNNNNNNNNNNNNNNNNNNNNNNNNNNNNNNNNNNNNNNNNNNNNNNNNNNNNNNNNNNNNNNNNNNNNNNNNNNNNNNNNNNNNNNNNNNNNGAUGAAGAAGAUGGUGGUGGUGAUUAAUAGAAAGAAGAAGGAGGUGGAGAUGAAGAAGGUGGUGGUGGAGAUUUAUAAAUAUAAGGAGUAGGAGGUGAUGGUGAUGGAGGAGGUGGGGAUUAAUAAACAUAUGGAGGAGGUGGUGAUGGUGAAGGUGGUGGUGGUGAUUUAUAAAUAUAAGGAGGAGGAGGUGAAGGAGAUGAAGGAGGUGGAGAUUUGUAAACAUAUGGAGGUGGAGGUAAGGGAGAUGGUGGUGGAGAUUUGUGAAUAUAAGGAGGGGGAGGUGAUGGUGAUGGAGGAGGUGGGGACUUAUAGAUAUAUGGAGGAGGUGGUGAUGGUGAAGGUGGUGGUGGUGAUUUGUAGAUGUAAGGUGGAGGAGGUGAAGGAGAUGGAGGAGGUGGUGAAUUGUAAACAUACGGAGGAGGAGGUGAGGGAGAUGGUGGUGGUGGUGAAUUGUAAACAUACGGAGGUGGAGGUGAGGGAGAUGGUGGUGGUGGGGAUUUAUAAAUGUAAGGAGGGGGAGGUGAUGGUGAUGGAGGAGGUGGAGACUUGUAAACAUAAGGAGGA
Molecule: long non-coding RNA, 6243 nt
Filed under: Vitis vinifera (wine grape)
Lineage: Eukaryota; Viridiplantae; Streptophyta; Magnoliopsida; Vitales; Vitaceae
Description: long non-coding RNA (VVIN_LNC001688)
Source: RNAcentral